CUUUUUAGAGAAUUUUUAUCAUUUCAGUGAGGUAAAUAAAAGUGUGAUUCACUUCUGUAAAAAUGCAAGGCUCACUAAUUUAAAAAAAAAAAAAAGCUAGAUAAUAUGAAUGGAGAGGACUCACCAAUAGGUGAGUGAAACAUUAGAAAUGUACAUAGGUAGAUAGAUGAGGCCAACUGAAUGUGCUGCGUUCAAUAUAUAGAUAUUUUCAGGGUUUCAUGGGCAAAGAAAUGUAUCACAUCUGCUUUCACCAGUUCAUUCAUCUCACAAGCAGUCCAAGUAUUCCCACUGAUGCCUGUUUCAUAGCUGGGUAAAUGUUUAAGCAGUACAUUUGUUUUGAGCUCCCUGAAACUAGGGAAACUAGGCUACACUCCUAUUUUUAAUAUGUCUAUAUUACUAUAAACCCAGUGUCUGCAUGUGACUCAGCCCUGGAAGAACGACAGAUAGCAAGAACAAUAUUAGUGACAUAAAAUAUAGGAACAGAAUACAUGGAACUAUGUAUGUAGGCUAAAAAUUUGCAUGCAGUUCUAGGCAGAAAAGUUUCUGUGGCAUCUUACAGAAACAGACAUUUAAGUUUUUUUCCUACAAUUUCCAGCCCUCUUGUAAUUCCAGGAGUAAUUACAACCAUUGGAAUGUUGGUAUAAAUGAAAGUAGAGAUCUAGAAGAUUGGUCCGCGUCAGACUUUUGUUUUAUUCAGAGGUUUGGCUUCCUGCCCUCAGUUCAGGCAAUAAAUUGGCUGUAACAGAGCUCCUUCUAGCAUUCUGUUCAGUAGAAGUAUCCCAACAGAGACAAAAAUACACAAAAUAAGGACUCAAGAAGGAAGUCAACUGAGAUCAUCAUCAUCAACAUUUCUUCAGUGCCUAUGCAAUGCUGCUCCGCUCAGGCCGUAUAAAGCCGUAUCAAAUGCCUCGCCAGAGAAGGCAGCCUGUGAAGAAGAAAUUUCUGCUUAAACGUAUGAGAACAGCUCCUGGAAAGCCAGUGUUUAGUCUGCGAAAAACAGUGAAAUGUUAUAUCCUAACUGAAGAUUCAAAAACCGUGCAUUUUGAUAUAGAUGAAGAUGGUCAUCAUGAAAUAUGUACCAAGGAUUCACAAUCCCAUGAAGAUAUUGCGUGGUUAAGUGUGUUCACAAGAAGCGAAGCAGCAGUUACUGAUUCUAAAAAUUUGGUGAUCCUCACACAGAGAUCAAAGCUAAAUGAAUUUGUCCUGUUGUGCAAGGGUAAGAAGCAUCUCUCUCUGAAGGUCUUAAAAGCAUCCUGUUCAGAGCCAGAUUGUCCUUCAGUGGCGAGAUGCAAUAUGAAAACAUGCAACCAUGAAGAUCCUGACUUUAAACAGAAAUUAACGUUGACUGCCAUGAUGUACAGAAGGCUGAUAGUUUUAUAGCACACUUGACACAUAGCUGCUCAGAAUAUCACAGCAAACCAAAAUCACAGUCACUUAUACCAAGUCAGUUAAGCAGUUGAAAGAACUGACUUACAUUACCUUUAGGAAGUGAUACCUUACUAUUUGUAUAAAAUACCUUAAACAAAUAUCUUAAAGAAAAUUCCAACCUAUUUAUUGCAAACUGACAAAUGGUUAUCCAGAACUAGCUAUUUUGAGCUGCUGGUAUUACUUGCAAAACAGAAUUUAAGACUUCCCUUAGUGUUUCUGUCCUUAUAGAUCAGGACAGACACAAGUAGUCCAUACUGACUUUAAAUAGCCCCCUAUUCAUCAUGUUGUCAGUUUCGGAUGUACUUCUUGGGUAUCUAAUUUUAGCACAUGAUGUGCAAUUAGCUUAAAUGUUUCACUCAUAGGUCUACACUUGAUACCACAAGUGCUAGGUAUUGAAUUGCUGUUGGAUUACUCCCACUUACCCUACCUGUCUAUUAAAAGUCUUUGUUUAACGAGAAAAUUUUGUGUUUUCCAGUAAACUGUUGGCACAAGAAAGCCCUCUUUCUCAGAGGGCUAUUCUCUAUCCUGUCCCUACGAUAACCUGGGACAAGAAUGUUCUGAAUUUCCUGUGUAAAGAGGAGCAAAUGUGAACCAUUUAGAAAUGUCUUGCUCAUUGCUGUUGUGGGUUGCACACAGUUCAUGAAUCACUUCUAUGACAGAUAUUCCGGAAUAGAAAUAUUUCUAAAAAGAUAAAUCCUGCUUCCACCAAAAAGUACUUGAUGAAAUUUUAGUAUAACUUUCAAGGGGUAAAAUUAUAAUCUCCUUUACAACUUUAUAAAAUAUAAAUGUUUAGAUAAGCAGUAUUUGUUGCUACAGCCAAGAAAGACACAGAUACACAAAGAAUAGUAAGCACUUUCUGAAAGCAUGUCAGCCAGAAGUGGAAGAGAAAGAGCAAGUAAAGGGAGUGUAACACCCACCCACAAUGAGCAAAUUAGUAGAAACAGAUGAGUAG
This is a long non-coding RNA of Cyanistes caeruleus (blue tit), 2380 nucleotides long. The record is from Ensembl. NCBI's taxonomy places the organism in Eukaryota, Metazoa, Chordata, Aves, Passeriformes, Paridae.